This 426-nucleotide ribosomal RNA is filed under the name uncultured bacterium. RNAcentral describes it as "bacterial SSU rRNA". It matches the Rfam family "Bacterial small subunit ribosomal RNA", at positions 340 to 786 of the family's 1533-position model. The record is from RNAcentral.
UACGGGAGGCAGCAGUGGGGAAUAUUGGACAAUGGGCGCAAGCCUGAUCCAGCCAUGCCGCGUGAGUGAUGAAGGCCUUAGGGUUGUAAAGCUCUUUUAUCCGGGACGAUAAUGACGGUACCGGAGGAAUAAGCCCCGGCUAACUUCGUGCCAGCAGCCGCGGUAAUACGAAGGGGCUAGCGUUGCUCGGAAUCACUGGGCGUAAAGGGCGCGUAGGCGGCGUUUUUAAGUCGGGGUGAAAGCCUGUGGCUCAACCACAGAAUGGCCUUCGAUACUGGGACGCUUGAGUAUGGUAGAGGUUGGUGGAACUGCGAGUGUAGAGGUGAAAUUCGUAGAUAUUCGCAAGACACCGGUGCGAAGGCGGCAACUGGACCAUUACUGACGCUGAGGCGCGAAAGCGUGGGGAGCAAACAGGGAUUAGAUACC